AAUUUGACCUCGGAUCAGGUAGGAAUACCCGCUGAACUUAAGCAUAUCAAUAAGCGGAGGAAAAGAAACCAACAGGGAUUGCCCUAGUAACGGCGAGUGAAGCGGCAACAGCUCAAAUUUGAAAUCU
Molecule: ribosomal RNA, 127 nt
Filed under: Diaporthe sp. CLF-M
Lineage: Eukaryota; Fungi; Ascomycota; Sordariomycetes; Diaporthales; Diaporthaceae
Description: partial 28S rRNA
Rfam family: Eukaryotic large subunit ribosomal RNA
Source: RNAcentral